CAACGUGGAUGCUUUGUCCCAAAUUACUACGUGAUUUGACAUCAUUUUCGAGCCCAAAUCAUGUCAUUUUGGUAUCCAAUCAUCUUCCCUUUUUUGGCUGUUUUAAUGAAUUAACUUUGGUUUCCUACUAUUUUUAUCUUACAUGAAUUCAAAUUGGGUCAUGAUUAUUGCAUUCUAGGUGAGCGGUUGAGUUAGUAUUUUUAUAGACUGGAAUUUUUUAUUUUACUAUUUUUGAAAAGUUUCAUGAAGUAGCUGUGUGUAGGAUUUAUGUAAAAGUUAUAAUUUUUUAUGAUUUAUGAUUUUAAUUCUCUAUGCAUAUACUUCCUCUUCGCUUGGUGGUCGGAACAAGAAUCCCAGGGAAAGGGAGAAUUUGUACGCGGCAGAAGAAAGCGCACAAAGCCUUUUCUGCAAAAGCGUUGAUUACUUCAGGUCCUAUGGGACCGAGCUUAAAGCAAGUUGCGGCUUGUGGAUAAGCUGAUUUUCAGUUUGAAAAUUGUCGGUCUCUCAGGUUGAUUGUCCUGGUGUUGCUCUCUAUUGUGCAUCGAAAGUCCUCAGAUUUUCUUUGCUUCGGGUGCAGGGUUGUCUUUGCCAUUUUGUAUCAUUGUUAUUCCUCAGUGUAUAUAUAUAUAAAAAGUUCUAUAUACUCUGUGAAA
This is a long non-coding RNA of Ananas comosus (pineapple), 653 nucleotides long. RefSeq lists it as uncharacterized. The transcript is spliced from 3 exons. The record is from RefSeq and is a predicted model, not a curated record. Lineage: Eukaryota; Viridiplantae; Streptophyta; Magnoliopsida; Poales; Bromeliaceae.